RNAcentral lists this ribosomal RNA (253 nucleotides) under uncultured bacterium. RNAcentral describes it as "partial 16S ribosomal RNA". It matches the Rfam family "Bacterial small subunit ribosomal RNA", at positions 524 to 776 of the family's 1533-position model. The record is from RNAcentral.
UACGUAGGGUGCGAGCGUUAAUCGGAAUUACUGGGCGUAAAGCGUGCGCAGGCGGUUCGCUGUGUCCUGUGUGAAAGCCCCGGGCUCAACCUGGGAAUGGCAUGGGAAACUGGCGAGCUGGAGUGUGGCAGAGGGGGGUGGAAUUCCGCGUGUAGCAGUGAAAUGCGUAGAGAUGCGGAGGAACACCGAUGGCGAAGGCAGCCCCCUGGGCUAACACUGACGCUCAGGCACGAAAGCGUGGGGAGCAAACAGG